CGGGGUGAGUAAUGCCUGGGAAACUGCCUGAUGGAGGGGGAUAACUGCUGGAAACGGUAGCUAAUACCGCAUAACGUCGCAAGACCAAAGAGGGGGACCUUCGGGCCUCUUGCCAUCGGAUGUGCCCAGAUGGGAUUAGCUAGUAGGUGGGGUAACGGCUCACCUAGGCGACGAUCCCUAGCUGGUCUGAGAGGAUGGCCAGCCACACUGGAACUGAGACACGGUCCAG
This 229-nucleotide ribosomal RNA is filed under the name uncultured bacterium. RNAcentral's name for it is "partial 16S ribosomal RNA". It matches the Rfam family "Bacterial small subunit ribosomal RNA", at positions 104 to 334 of the family's 1533-position model. The record is from RNAcentral.